Molecule: ribosomal RNA, 253 nt
Filed under: uncultured bacterium
Lineage: Bacteria
Description: partial 16S ribosomal RNA
Rfam family: Bacterial small subunit ribosomal RNA
Source: RNAcentral
UACAGAGGUGGCAAGCGUUGUUCGGAAUUACUGGGCGUAAAGGGCGCGUAGGCGGCCAUCUAAGUCAGACGUGAAAUCCCCCGGCUUAACCUGGGAACUGCGUCUGAUACUGGACGGCUCGAGUUUGGGAGAGGGAUGUGGAAUUCCAGGUGUAGCGGUGAAAUGCGUAGAUAUCUGGAGGAACACCGGUGGCGAAGGCGGCAUCCUGGACCAACACUGAUGCUGAGGCGCGAAAGCUAGGGGAGCAAACGGG